Molecule: ribosomal RNA, 434 nt
Filed under: uncultured organism
Description: bacterial SSU rRNA
Rfam family: Bacterial small subunit ribosomal RNA
Source: RNAcentral
GUGCAGCAGGCGCGAAUUUUUCACAAUGGGGGAAACCCUGAUGGAGCGACGCCGCGUGGAGGACGAAGGCCCUCGGGUCGUAAACUCCUGUCAUGCGGGAACAAGAAAGUGAUAGUACCGCAAGAGGAAGAGACGGCUAACUCUGUGCCAGCAGCCGCGGUAAUACAGAGGUCUCAAGCGUUAUUCGGAUUCAUUGGGCGUAAAGGGUGCGUAGGUGGCGAUGUAAGUCUGGUGUGAAAUCUCGGAGCUUAACUCCGAAACUGCAUUGGAUACUGCGUUGCUUGAGGAUUGUAGAGGAGAGUGGAAUUCACGGUGUAGCAGUGAAAUGCGUAGAUAUCGUGAGGAAGACCAGUUGCGAAGGCGACUCUCUGGGCAAUUCCUGACACUGAGGCACGAAGGCCAGGGGAGCAAACGGGAUUAGAUACCCCCGUAGU